RNAcentral lists this ribosomal RNA (406 nucleotides) under uncultured bacterium. RNAcentral describes it as "partial 16S ribosomal RNA". It matches the Rfam family "Bacterial small subunit ribosomal RNA", at positions 30 to 526 of the family's 1533-position model. The record is from RNAcentral.
AUUGAACGCUGGCGGCAGGCCUAACACAUGCAAGUCGAACGAGUGGCGGACGGGUGAGUAAUGUCUGGGAAACUGCCCGAUGGAGGGGGAUAACUACUGGAAACGGUAGCUAAUACCGCAUACCAUCGGAUGUGCCCAGAUGGGAUUAGAUAGUAGGUGGGGUAAAGGCUCACCUAGUCGACGAUCCCUAGCUGGUCUGCGAGGAUGACCAGCCACACGGGAACUGAGACACGGUCCAGACUCCUACGGGAGGCAGCAGUGGGGAAUAUUGCACAAUGGGCGCAAGCCUGAUGCAGCCAUGCCGCGUGUAGGAAGAAGGCCUUCGGGUUGUAAAGUACUUUCAGCGGGGAGGCGUUACCGGCAGAAGAAGCACCGGCUAACUCCGUGCCAGCAGCCGCGGUAAUUC